RNAcentral lists this ribosomal RNA (253 nucleotides) under uncultured bacterium. RNAcentral describes it as "partial 16S ribosomal RNA". It matches the Rfam family "Bacterial small subunit ribosomal RNA", at positions 524 to 776 of the family's 1533-position model. The record is from RNAcentral.
UACGAACCGUACAAACGUUAUUCGGAACCACUGGGCUUAAAGGGUGCGUAGGCGGCCAUGUAAGUGAGGUGUGAAAUCCCUCGGCUCAACCGAGGAACUGCGCUUCAUACUGCAUGGCUUGAGGGAGACAGGGGUAAGCGGAACUGAUGGUGGAGCGGUGAAAUGCGUUGAUAUCAUCAGGAACACCGGUGGCGAAAGCGGCUUACUGGGUCUCUUCUGACGCUGAGGUACGAAAGCUAGGGUAGCGAACGGG